AUAACGACUCUCGGCAACGGAUAUCUCGGCUCUCGCAUCGAUGAAGAACGUAGCGAACUGYGAUACUUGGUGUGAAUUGCAGAAUCCCGUGAACCAUCGAGUCUUUGAACGCAAGUUGCGCCCGAAGCCAUUCGGUCGAGGGCACGUUUGCCUGGGUGUCAC
This 162-nucleotide ribosomal RNA is filed under the name Metrosideros rugosa. Its description in RNAcentral is "5.8S ribosomal RNA". It matches the Rfam family "5.8S ribosomal RNA". Rfam says of the family: 5.8S ribosomal RNA (5.8S rRNA) is a component of the large subunit of the eukaryotic ribosome. It is transcribed by RNA polymerase I as part of the 45S precursor that also contains 18S and 28S rRNA. Lineage: Eukaryota; Viridiplantae; Streptophyta; Magnoliopsida; Myrtales; Myrtaceae. The record is from RNAcentral.